UCCUUUUUCUUGUGUAAUUCCUUGUCUUCCAAGCCUCAACUUUAAUUUCUCCAGAUUUUAGCACAUGUCUAACACAAUUUAAACACCAAAAACGUUCAGCCCAUAUGCUAUCCACGCAUGCUAUCCAAUCCAAGUCCAAAACUGCUCCAAAUUACUCCAUUUAGAUAUUUAUUGUCAUCUUUACCAACUGAACCUACAAUAAUACAAAAAUAACAUAAAUUACCAAAAUAAAUGGAAAUAAACGAAGUAAAUGCAAAGAAAUAAGAUAACAAAGUCGCAUAAACAUGCUCCUAUCAAAUUCCCCCACACUUAGCUUUUGCUAGUCCUCGAGCAAAAAAUAGAAAACAAAACAAAACCUAAACCUUCCAACAAUUGCCUUAGGGAUUUCCAAUGAAACAUGACAUGUUAAAAAUCACUACUCACAUAGAUUUUAGUCAUCCUUACUCUUGAGCUUAUACUUAACCACAGUAACCACCCAUUAGCUCGCAUUUAAUCAAUUAAAACAACAUUUGAAUAUAGUAACAUGCCUUAGAGAAUUCACUCAAUUCCUCACUGGAUAUACUCUUUAUUUUCACACAGAUUUUCUGACUAUACUCCCUAUACUAAGUAUAUGUGAGAAGAUUGAUGUAAACAUGUAGACUAGCACUCACAUAUGUUAUAACAACGAAGGCACUUUUUGGAAUUAUUAAUACAAACAUGUAUAUAAUCUCAUGAAUGGAAUGCCACUACUUAGAAGCGAGAACUAGGGAUUCCAUAUGCUCGUUUCAAACUCCACAUAUUGAAACACAAAACAAUCAAGAUAAAGAUCUAAGGGUUGUAAUGGGGCUAAGGUAUUGGCUAACAAAGAAAGGUUAAGGAUAAACAAGGGUUCUUAAAGUGACAGUAAGCAAAGUAAUGAAAUCAACACUUAGAAUUAAACUUUUGACUACAGCACCCAAAUUUAAACAGAAAGUGAAGAUUCGUACAACUUUAGGGUCAGAUUCAGAUUUUUGGACCCUUCUUCAACAACCAACACUGAUGAACUCAUUCUAACUUCUUUCUCAACCUCUUUUCUUCUUUUCUCAAUUUUUUUUCAACGUUUUUCUUCUUUUUUUUGUUUAAUUUUUUUUCUUUGAAACAUACACACUACUUCAUUGGAUUCAAAAGAACAAAUUCUUCCCCCACACUUGUUUUUCUACAAAUCGGAGAUCAAAAGGAAUUCUCAACAAUUCAUGCUCCACUAUUCUUUACGAACAAGGGUAUUGAUAUUCCUAUGCUAGGCUAGGUAGGGAUAAUGCAGGCUAACAAAAAAAAUAGGCUAAAUAAAGCUCAAAGGGGUUAAACCUAUAAUACAUAUGCAAGGGAUAAGGCUUUUUGGCUCUAGUGGUAACUAAACAACUUCAUGUUGUUAUUUAUUAUGCAAUCAAUUUUAUGCUUUG
RNAcentral lists this long non-coding RNA (1418 nucleotides) under Malus domestica (apple). RNAcentral's name for it is "long non-coding RNA (MDOM_LNC005578)". The record is from RNAcentral. Lineage: Eukaryota; Viridiplantae; Streptophyta; Magnoliopsida; Rosales; Rosaceae.